GUGGGGAAUUUUGGACAAUGGGCGCAAGCCUGAUCCAGCAAUGCCGCGUGCAGGAAGAAGGCCUUCGGGUUGUAAACUGCUUUUGUACGGAACGAAACGGUCCGGGUUAAUACCCUGGGCUAAUGACGGUACCGUAAGAAUAAGCACCGGCUAACUACGUGCCAGCAGCCGCGGUAAUACGUAGGGUGCGAGCGUUAAUCGGAAUUACUGGGCGUAAAGCGUGCGCAGGCGGUGCUGUAAGACAGGCGUGAAAUCCCCGGGCUCAACCGGGGAAUUGCGCUUGUGACUGCAGUGCUGGAGUACGGCAGAGGGGGAUGGAAUUCCGCGUGUAGCAGUGAAAUGCGUAGAUAUGCGGAGGAACACCGAUGGCGAAGGCAGUCCCCUGGGCCUGUACUGACGCUCAUGCACGAAAGCGUGGGGAGCAAACAGGAUUAGAUACCCCGGUAGUCC
RNAcentral lists this ribosomal RNA (450 nucleotides) under uncultured bacterium. RNAcentral describes it as "partial 16S ribosomal RNA". It matches the Rfam family "Bacterial small subunit ribosomal RNA", at positions 354 to 796 of the family's 1533-position model. The record is from RNAcentral.